UCGCCUACGGGAGGCAGCAGUGAGGAAUAUUGGUCAAUGGGCGAGAGCCUGAACCAGCCAAGUCGCGUGAGGGAAGACGGUCCUAUGGAUUGUAAACCUCUUUUGCCGGGGAGCAAAAAGCGGUACGUGUACCGCAUCGAGAGUACCCGGAGAAAAAGCAUCGGCUAACUCCGUGCCAGCAGCCGCGGUAAUACGGAGGAUGCGAGCGUUAUCCGGAUUUACUGGGUGUAAAGGGAGAGUAGGUGGCAGAGCAAGUCCGAAGUGAAAACCCAAAGCUCAACUAUGGGAAUGCUUUAGAAACUGCU
This 305-nucleotide ribosomal RNA is filed under the name uncultured bacterium. RNAcentral's name for it is "bacterial SSU rRNA". It matches the Rfam family "Bacterial small subunit ribosomal RNA", at positions 335 to 637 of the family's 1533-position model. The record is from RNAcentral.